AUACGGAGGGUGCAAGCGUUACUCGGAAUCACUGGGCGUAAAGCGCGCGCAGGCGGUCUUUUAAGUUGGAUGUGAAAGCCUACGGCUCAACCGUAGAACUGCAUCCAAAACUAUUAGACUAGAGUGUGAGAGAGGAAGAUGGAAUUAGUUGUGUAGGGGUAAAAUCCGUAGAGAUAACUAGGAAUACCAAAAGCGAAGGCAAUCUUCUGGAACACUACUGACGCUGAGGCGCGAAAGCGUGGGGAGCAAACAGGAUUAGAUACCCUAGUAGUCC
This 274-nucleotide ribosomal RNA is filed under the name uncultured bacterium. RNAcentral's name for it is "partial 16S ribosomal RNA". It matches the Rfam family "Bacterial small subunit ribosomal RNA", at positions 523 to 796 of the family's 1533-position model. The record is from RNAcentral.